This is a long non-coding RNA of Ananas comosus (pineapple), 687 nucleotides long. RefSeq lists it as uncharacterized. The transcript has 2 exons. The record is from RefSeq and is a predicted model, not a curated record. NCBI's taxonomy places the organism in Eukaryota, Viridiplantae, Streptophyta, Magnoliopsida, Poales, Bromeliaceae.
AUGAAGAAGAUAACGAUAUCGAUAGAUGUAGAGAUUGGGGAUUUUUUGUUUUUUUUUGGUGUUUAUUUGGGGUGGUUAGAGGAGUAGAGGAAGAAGAAGGAGAAGAAGAUGAUGAUGAUGAUGAUGAUCAAGUAGUGUUCUGUAAUUGCGAUGCGAUUAGAUUGAAAUCGGAAUCAAAUUACCCCUUAAAUUCUUUUCUUUUUUCUUUUUUGGGUUCUUUUUAUUCUCGUGGUAAUUUUUGGUGCUAUUUUCGUGUGCAUUGAUUGGCUUCGGGGUACGAUACAAUCCAAUACGAUACAAUCCUCCUCUCUCCGCCGCUGUUGUUAACGCCGUGAUCGUCGCGCUCGUCGUCGUUCUCAAAUUCGCCCUAAUUUUGUGCCCCUUUUCCCCCGAUCGAGAAAGGUCAGUUUUCAAGUGGAACCAAGGGCCAGUGGGGUAAAGACUAAUGGACUUGUUUGGCCCCCAUUAUAUCCUCGGCAAUAAUGGUGCAGUCUAGAGCUAGAGCUGUUCGAAUAAGCACUAACAACUUUUUAUUAUAACACAAGCUAAGGCUACAAAUCAAAACUUAUGCUCGAGGGUCGAAAUGUUUUACGUCAGAAGAUUCAGAUUACAGAUUAUGUUUGUUAAAUACUACUGUUGUAAAACCCAGGACUUGGUUAUUUGUAAUUAUAUGCCAUUAGUCUGAAA